RNAcentral lists this ribosomal RNA (776 nucleotides) under uncultured Neocallimastigales. Its description in RNAcentral is "partial large subunit ribosomal RNA". It matches the Rfam family "Eukaryotic large subunit ribosomal RNA", at positions 23 to 647 of the family's 3401-position model. The record is from RNAcentral. Lineage: Eukaryota; Fungi; Neocallimastigomycota; Neocallimastigomycetes; Neocallimastigales.
AGAGAGAGACAUGCGCGCAUAUCAAUAAGCGGAGGAAAAGAAACUAACAAGGAUUCCCCUAGUAACGGCGAGUGAAGCGGGAAGAGCUCAAAUUUGAAAUCUUAAAGGGUUUCCCUUUACGAAUUGUAGUUUAAAGAAGUGUUUUCUGUUGAGGUUUUGGUAAAAGUUCUUUGGAAUAGGACAUCAUAGAGGGUGAGAAUCCCGUAUUUGACCUUUACUUUCAACUUUGUGAUACACUUUCAAAGAGUCGGAUUGUUUGGGAAUGCAGUCCAAAAUGGGUGGUAAAUUUCAUCUAAAGCUAAAUAUUGGCGAGAGACCGAUAGCGAACAAGUACCGUGAGGGAAAGAUGAAGAGAACUUUGAAAAGAGAGUUAAACAGUACGUGAAAUUGUCAAAAGGGAAGCGUUUGACACCAGUGUUGUUUUUCUGAAAAUCAAUUAAAGAACUGUUUAUGCUAAGCUGUUUAGACUUUAUCAGCUAAUCUGUUUAGUUUUGAGCUUUUCUUUAAUGCACUUUUCAGUUAACAAGUCAACAUCAAUUUCUUUUGCUGUAAAAAAGCUUGAGGAAGGUGGCUUGAGAUUCGUCUUAAGUGUUUAUAGCCUCUUGCCUAUGCAGUCGGAGAGAUUGAGGUCUGCAGCGUAGAUCCUUCGGGGCUAAAUGCAUUUGUGCUAAGUUAUAGCAUUUUAUAGAGCAACUUGUUGACUAUGAUUUGUCUUGUAGCUUACUCGCUUAUGUUAUUUUACCUACGCUUAGGAUGUUGACGCAUGAGAUAUACGC